This is a long non-coding RNA of Helianthus annuus (common sunflower), 184 nucleotides long. RefSeq lists it as uncharacterized. The transcript has 3 exons. NCBI's taxonomy places the organism in Eukaryota, Viridiplantae, Streptophyta, Magnoliopsida, Asterales, Asteraceae. The record is from RefSeq and is a predicted model, not a curated record.
GAAGGUUCUGAUUCAGAUGGUUCUGUGGGUAGCGCUCCAGGUGAAAGCCCUACUUAUGAAGGUUCUUAUUCAGAUGGUUCUGUGGGUAGCGCUCCAGGUGAAAGACAAGAAACUACUAAGGGGAAGGGCGACUACAUGGGCAUGCAUUAGCGGCAGAAGAUUUCGUGAAUUAUUGAAUAAAACC